GACGAACGCUGGCGGCGUGCCUAAUACAUGCAAGUUGAGCGCUGAAGGUUGGUACUUGUACCGACUGGAUGAGCAGCGAACGGGUGAGUAACGCGUGGGGAAUCUGCCUUUGAGCGGGGGACAACAUUUGGAAACGAAUGUUAAUACCGCAUAAAAACUUUAAACACAAGUUUUAAGUUUGAAAGAUGCAAUUGCAUCACUCAAAGAUGAUCCCGCGUUGUAUUAGCUAGUUGGUGAGGUAAAGGCUCACCAAGGCGAUGAUACAUAGCCGACCUGAGAGGGUGAUCGGCCACAUUGGGACUGAGACACGGCCCAAACUCCUACGGGAGGCAGCAGUAGGGAAUCUUCGGCAAUGGACGAAAGUCUGACCGAGCAACGCCGCGUGAGUGAAGAAGGUUUUCGGAUCGUAAAACUCUGUUGGUAGAGAAGAACGUUGGUGAGAGUGGAAAGCUCAUCAAGUGACGGUAACUACCCAGAAAGGGACGGCUAACUACGUG
This 497-nucleotide ribosomal RNA is filed under the name uncultured bacterium. RNAcentral's name for it is "partial 16S ribosomal RNA". It matches the Rfam family "Bacterial small subunit ribosomal RNA", at positions 28 to 507 of the family's 1533-position model. The record is from RNAcentral.